CCUACGGGGGGCUGCAGUGGGGAAUAUUGGACAAUGGGCGAAAGCCUGAUCCAGCCAUGCCGCGUGUGUGAAGAAGGCCUUCGGGUUGUAAAGCACUUUCAGUGGGGAAGAAAGCCUUGGGGCUAAUACCCUCGAGGAAGGACAUCACCAACAGAAGAAGCACCGGCUAACUCCGUGCCAGCAGCCGCGGUAAUACGGAGGGUGCGAGCGUUAAUCGGAAUUACUGGGCGUAAAGCGCGCGUAGGCGGUCUGAUAAGCCGGUUGUGAAAGCCCCGGGCUCAACCUGGGAACGGCAUCCGGAACUGUCAGGCUAGAGUGCAGGAGAGGAAGGUAGAAUUCCCGGUGUAGCGGUGAAAUGCGUAGAGAUCGGGAGGAAUACCAGUGGCGAAGGCAGCCUUCUGGACUGACACUGACGCUGAGGUGCGAAAGCGUGGGUAGCAAACAGGAUUAGAUACCCGAGUAGUC
RNAcentral lists this ribosomal RNA (465 nucleotides) under Vreelandella stevensii. RNAcentral's name for it is "partial 16S ribosomal RNA". It matches the Rfam family "Bacterial small subunit ribosomal RNA", at positions 338 to 795 of the family's 1533-position model. Lineage: Bacteria; Pseudomonadati; Pseudomonadota; Gammaproteobacteria; Oceanospirillales; Halomonadaceae. The record is from RNAcentral.